CCUACGGGGUGCUGCAGUGGGGAAUAUUGGACAAUGGGCGAAAGCCUGAUCCAGCCAUGCCGCGUGUGUGAAGAAGGCCUUCGGGUUGUAAAGCACUUUCAGUGGGGAAGAAAGCCUUGGGGCUAAUACCCUCGAGGAAGGACAUCACCCACAGAAGAAGCACCGGCUAACUCCGUGCCAGCAGCCGCGGUAAUACGGAGGGUGCGAGCGUUAAUCGGAAUUACUGGGCGUAAAGCGCGCGUAGGCGGUCUGAUAAGCCGGUUGUGAAAGCCCCGGGCUCAACCUGGGAACGGCAUCCGGAACUGUCAGGCUAGAGUGCAGGAGAGGAAGGUAGAAUUCCCGGUGUAGCGGUGAAAUGCGUAGAGAUCGGGAAGAAUACCAGUGGCGAAGGCGGCCUUCUGGACUGACACUGACGCUGAGGUGCGAAAGCGUGGGUAGCAAACAGGAUUAGAUACCCUGGUAGUC
RNAcentral lists this ribosomal RNA (465 nucleotides) under Vreelandella stevensii. Its description in RNAcentral is "partial 16S ribosomal RNA". It matches the Rfam family "Bacterial small subunit ribosomal RNA", at positions 338 to 795 of the family's 1533-position model. Lineage: Bacteria; Pseudomonadati; Pseudomonadota; Gammaproteobacteria; Oceanospirillales; Halomonadaceae. The record is from RNAcentral.